This is a long non-coding RNA of Drosophila persimilis, 435 nucleotides long. RefSeq lists it as uncharacterized. The transcript is spliced from 2 exons. Lineage: Eukaryota; Metazoa; Arthropoda; Insecta; Diptera; Drosophilidae. The record is from RefSeq and is a predicted model, not a curated record.
AUCAAAUUUGAGAGUAGAAAGCACAUCAAUUUGCUUUCUCACUUUUCAAAAAAAUUCAAAAAAAUUAUUAGUAACCAUGGAGACGUCCAGCUCGAAUGGCAGCUCCAGCCAAAUCCCUUCCUGCGGCAGCAAUUCCCGCCUGGAGGCUCUGCAGGCAGCUUCGGAGUCCGGGGCGUGCCCCUGCCCCAAAGGCCAAGGCGGAUGCAUCUGCACUAAUGGCAUUUGCAUGAAGGGCGAGUGCCCGAAUGGCAUCUGCCAGAGGAACCAUCAGGGACCACCACCUUCUCUCUGAUCCCAGACCUGGAUUUCGAUGAGGUUUGACGCUUUCAGCUCCCAAACAGUACCCUCCCUAACCUGAAAAUAGCUCCUUGCAACAGAUUCAGAUAUAUUACAGAAUUCAGAUACAAAUAAAAUUCCCUUUAACUAGUGCCAGCA